Non-coding RNA from Atractiella rhizophila, 83 nucleotides. The record is from the annotation of a GenBank genome assembly. NCBI's taxonomy places the organism in Eukaryota, Fungi, Basidiomycota, Atractiellomycetes, Atractiellales, Hoehnelomycetaceae.
CUCUCCUUAGCUCAGUUGGAAGAGCAUCAGACUGUAAUUGGCUUGUUAUCUGGGUGUCCUCGGUUCGAUCCCGAGAGGGGAGA